UACGGAGGGGGCGAGCGUUGUCCGAAUUUAUUGGGCGUAAAGCGCGUGUAGGCGGAUGGACAAGCCUGAGGUGAAAGGUUGGGGCUCAACCCCAUACAGUGCCUUGGGGACUGUUCGUCUGGAGGCCGGCAGAGGAGAGUGGAAUUCCUGGUGUAGCGGUGGAAUGCGUAGAGAUCAGGAAGAACACCCAUGGCGAAGGCAGCUCUCUGGGUCCCUACCGACGCUGGGGUGCGAAAGCAUGGGGAGCGAACAGG
Molecule: ribosomal RNA, 254 nt
Filed under: uncultured bacterium
Lineage: Bacteria
Description: partial 16S ribosomal RNA
Rfam family: Bacterial small subunit ribosomal RNA
Source: RNAcentral